This 408-nucleotide ribosomal RNA is filed under the name bacterium. RNAcentral's name for it is "bacterial SSU rRNA". It matches the Rfam family "Bacterial small subunit ribosomal RNA", at positions 354 to 776 of the family's 1533-position model. The record is from RNAcentral. RNAcentral also lists the same sequence under 1 other name.
GUGGGGAAUAUUGCACAAUGGGGGAAACCCUGAUGCAGCAACGCCGCGUGAAGGAAGACGGUUUUCGGAUUGUAAACUUCUUUUCUUAGUGAAGAAGAAAGUGACGGUAGCUAAGGAAUAAGCAUCGGCUAACUACGUGCCAGCAGCCGCGGUAAUACGUAGGAUGCGAGCGUUAUCCGGAAUUACUGGGUGUAAAGGGAGCGCAGGCGGGACUGCAAGUUGGAUGUGAAAUGCCGCAGCUUAACUGCGGAGCUGCAUCCAAAACUGUAGUUCUUGAGUGGAGUAGAGGCAAGCGGAAUUCCGAGUGUAGCGGUGAAAUGCGUAGAUAUUCGGAGGAACACCAGUGGCGAAGGCGGCUUGCUGGGCUCUAACUGACGCUGAGGCUCGAAAGUGUGGGGAGCAAACAGG